Molecule: long non-coding RNA, 199 nt
Filed under: Lathyrus oleraceus (garden pea)
Lineage: Eukaryota; Viridiplantae; Streptophyta; Magnoliopsida; Fabales; Fabaceae
Description: Pisum sativum (pea) long non-coding RNA (PSAT_LNC024644)
Source: RNAcentral
GGGAGAACUAUGUUCAGUGGCGAAACUGAGGGGGGACGUGGGAAGGCCUCGGCCACCCCUCAACUUUUUAUUUUUUUUAAUUCAUAUAUAUUAAAUUACUAAAACAUCCUUAUUUUAAAUUAAAAUUAAUUUUUAUUUUUUCUUUUUCAUUCAAAGUUAGGUUAAAAUACAGAUAAGGUAAAAAGCUCUUACCUUUCCU